RNAcentral lists this ribosomal RNA (951 nucleotides) under uncultured archaeon. RNAcentral's name for it is "bacterial SSU rRNA". It matches the Rfam family "Archaeal small subunit ribosomal RNA", at positions 1 to 925 of the family's 1478-position model. The record is from RNAcentral.
AUUUUCCGGUUGAUCCUGCCGGACCCUACUGCUAUCGGGGUGGGACUAAGACAUGCGUGUCGAACGACCCCUAGCCAUGAAGGGGACGUGGCAUACGGCUCAGUAACACGUGGCUAACCUACCCUCGAGACAGGGACAACCCCGGGAAACUGGGGCCAAUCCCCGAUAGAUGAGAACACCUGGAACGGGUUCUCGUCCAAAAGGCGCCUAGAUCACGCUUCUAGACGCUGCUCAAGGAUGGGGCCGCGGCCGAUCAGGCUGUUGGUGAGGCAAUGGCUCACCAAACCUUUAACCGGUACGGGCCGUGGGAGCGGGAGCCCGGAGAUGGGAACUGAGACAAGGUCCCAGGCCCUACGGGGCGCAGCAGUCGCGAAAACUUGUCAAUGCACGAAAGUGUGAACGGGCUACCCCGAGUGCCGUCCGCUGAGGAUGGCUUUUCUCUGCUGUAAGGAAGCGGAGGAAUAAGGCGAGGGCAAGUCUGGUGUCAGCCGCCGCGGUAAUACCAGCUCGCCGAGUGGUAGGGAUGAUUAUUGGGCUUAAAGCGUCCGUAGCCGGCCUCUCAAGUCUCUCGUUAAAUCCAGCGAUUCAAUCGUUGGACUGCGGGAGAUACUGUUAGGCUAGGAGGCGGGAGAAGCCGACGGUAUUUUCGGGGUAGGGGUAAAAUCCUAUAAUCCCGGGAAGACCACCAGUGGCGUAGGCGGUCGGCUAGCACGCGCUCGACGGUGAGGGACGAAAGCUGGGGGAGCGAACCGGAUUAGAUACCCGGGUAGUCCCAGCUGUAAACGAUGCUGGCUAGGUGUUGGAGCGGCUACGAGCCGCUCCAGUGCCGCAGGGAAGCCAUUAAGCCAGCCGCCUGGGGAGUACGGCCGCAAGGCUGAAACUUAAAGGAAUUGGCGGGGGAGCACCACAAGGGGUGAAGCUUGCGGUUUAAUUGGAUUCAACGCCGGAAAU